This is a long non-coding RNA of Musca domestica (house fly), 1115 nucleotides long. RefSeq lists it as uncharacterized. The transcript has 3 exons. Lineage: Eukaryota; Metazoa; Arthropoda; Insecta; Diptera; Muscidae. The record is from RefSeq and is a predicted model, not a curated record.
UAAUAUUAUUUUUUUUGUUUUAAUUUAGCAUUCGAAGAACAAAUCUACAGAAGAAGAAUACAGAAGAAGAACAAAUCUAACCCAUGACGUUAUCAAGAGAAAUGCAAGAUGCCAUCGAUAAAUGUGCAUUUUGUAGUGACCUCCUUCUUGGCAUGACUCACGGAAGAAAUUUCCAUGGUUAAACGUUUUCGGCCAACAGGCUUCGCAACUAAAUCAUUGCAGUUGCUGUUGUUGUUUGUAGUUCAACUGGAAAAUCUAUUAAUCAUAAUUGAUGCAAAUUGAUUCCCAUCCCACAAAUGAAAACGAAGCGGCACUAUAUCGCCAGUUUUUCUUUUCUCAACAACAGCCAUUUUUCAAACAAUGCCAAAUGCAGACAGACUACGUCCGACGAGGCAGCAACAAACAGAAAGUUACCUCUUAUCGAAGGCACUAAAUUUUGGUUUGUGUAAAUUUCAUAAUGACAAUGCAAUGCGACGAUGACAACUACAGCGACGAUGGUGAAGGCGACGAGUAACACCGAAAAGUAGGCCAAAGAGAAAAUCUGCAGUUGCAGCAGCAACAACAAACGGCAAUCACCAGCGGCGGUUAUUAGAAAAAGCGGCACAAUUCGCAUGCAAUAGAAGUCAUGCAGGCAUUUCGUACACUUUCUAAUGUUGUUGCAAAAACCAAACCAAAACAACAGCAACAACGACAACGACAACAAAUAAGUGGAAACGGGAAAGCAAAUGAAAAUUGCUACCAUAAUACCUGAGACCAAUAUCUGGUAUCGCAUAUCCGCAGAAGCUUGGCUAUAACAAAACAAAAACAAUGUAAUACCAUACAUAAGUCCGACUGCAUCGAUUCUGCACCAAACCGAUAUGGAUGUUACAGUGAAUGGUUGGAUGGGCGAAAGCGGAGUUGCUGGAGAAAUGAUAAACGGCCAGAGAUUGUAUCAUGUUGACUGUGGCCUAACACCAAGGCAACAAUAACAACAACAUUCGAAACAUGGUACACAUUCACUCAUAAUUAUUGCCAAUGUUGCUAAAUUGUUCCAAUGAAAAUUGUUUUGAUUUUCACAAAUUUUUCGAAUUUUCAAAUGGCAUAAAAUUCUUAGAUAAUGGGAAUUAAAAAUCCAA